UACAGAGGGUGCAAGCGUUAAUCGGAAUGACUGGGCGUAAAGGGUGUGUAGGUGGUUGAUUAAGUUAGAUGUGAAAUCCCCGGGCUUAACCUGGGAACUGCAUUUAAUACUGGUUGACUAGAGUAUGGGAGAGGUAAGUGGAAUUUCCGGUGUAGCGGUGAAAUGCGUAGAUAUCGGAAGGAACACCAGUGGCGAAGGCGGCUUACUGGCCUAAUACUGACACUGAAACACGAAAGCGUGGGGAGCAAACAGG
This 253-nucleotide ribosomal RNA is filed under the name uncultured bacterium. RNAcentral's name for it is "partial 16S ribosomal RNA". It matches the Rfam family "Bacterial small subunit ribosomal RNA", at positions 524 to 776 of the family's 1533-position model. The record is from RNAcentral.